CCUACGGGAGGCAGCAGUAGGGAAUAUUGGUCAAUGGGUGAGAGCCUGAACCAGCCAUGCCGCGUGCAGGAAGACGGCCCUAUGGGUUGUAAACUGCUUUUACCAGGGGAUAAAACGGUCUUGCGAGACUAAUUGAAGGUACCUGGUGAAUAAGCCACGGCUAACUACGUGCCAGCAGCCGCGGUAAUACGUAGGUGGCAAGCGUUGUCCGGAUUUAUUGGGUUUAAAGGGUGCGUAGGCGGUCCUAUAAGUCAGUGCUGAAAUAUCCCGGCUUAACCGGGAGGGUGGCAUUGAUACUGCAGGACUUGAGUAAAGUUGAGGUUGGCGGAAUUGACGGUGUAGCGGUGAAAUGCUUAGAUAUCGUCAAGAACACCGAUAGCGAAGGCAGCUAACUAAGCUUUAACUGACGCUGAGGCACGAAAGUGUGGGGAUCAAACAGG
Molecule: ribosomal RNA, 440 nt
Filed under: uncultured bacterium
Lineage: Bacteria
Description: bacterial SSU rRNA
Rfam family: Bacterial small subunit ribosomal RNA
Source: RNAcentral